Molecule: ribosomal RNA, 540 nt
Filed under: Amphora cf. fogediana
Lineage: Eukaryota; Bacillariophyta; Bacillariophyceae; Surirellales; Surirellaceae
Description: eukaryotic LSU rRNA
Rfam family: Eukaryotic large subunit ribosomal RNA
Source: RNAcentral
UUAAUAAGCGGAGGAAAAGAAACUAACCCAGGAUUCCCCCAGUAACGGCGAGUGAAGCGGGAAGAGCUCAAAAUGUGAAUCUGCGCAGUUUCUGCUGCGURGAAUUGUGGUCUAUAGAUACUUGCACUAUGAAGCUGGACCAAGUCCCUUGGAACAGGGCAGCUGAGAGGGUGAUACUCCCGUCCGUCUGGUUUUUGGAGCGUGUGUCAACGAGUCGAGUUGUUUGGGAUUGCAGCUCAAAGCAGGUGGUAAAUUCCAUCGAAAGCUAAAUAAGGGUGGCAGACCGAUAGCGUACAAGUACCGUGAGGGAAAGAUGCAAAGCCGCGCGAAAGCGCUGUUAAAGAGUACCUGAAAUUGCUGAAAAGGAAGCAAAGGAAACCAGUGUCAGCAUGGUCAUACUUCCCUAUUUGCUUGCAGAUGGGGCGCUGUGUCCAGCCUAGUCAUUGUUUAUUGUAGUGUCAGAAAAUGCGCCUGGAGAGUUGAUCUUGGUGGCUUGCUGAUACUACUAUAGAGAUUGACGAAAUGGUCUUCUUUUUCCCG